CCUACGGGGGGCAGCAGUGGGGAAUAUUGGGCAAUGGAGGAAACUCUGACCCAGCAACGCCGCGUGAAGGAUGAAGGUUUUCGGAUUGUAAACUUCUGUCGCGAGGGAUGAAGAAUGACGGUACCUCGUAAGAAAGCACCUGCAAACUACGUGCAAGCAGCCGCGGUAAUACGUAGGGGGCGAGCGUUGUCCGUAAGGACUGGGCGUAACGGGAUUGAAGGCGGCCUAUUAAGUUGUGUGUGAAAGCCCGCGGCUGAACCGAGGCAUUGCACCUAAAACUGGUAAGCUGGAGUGCAGGGGAGGUAAGUGGAAUUCCCGGUGUAGCGGUGGAAUGCGUAGAUAUCGGGAGGAACACCAGAGGCGAAGGCGACUUACUGGACUGUAACUGACGCUGAGGCUCGAAAGCGUGGGGAGCAAACAGGAUUAGAUACCCUGGUAGUC
Molecule: ribosomal RNA, 441 nt
Filed under: uncultured bacterium
Lineage: Bacteria
Description: partial 16S ribosomal RNA
Rfam family: Bacterial small subunit ribosomal RNA
Source: RNAcentral